This 175-nucleotide ribosomal RNA is filed under the name Pyrococcus furiosus. Its description in RNAcentral is "partial 23S ribosomal RNA". The stretch from base 63 to 175 matches the Rfam family "Archaeal large subunit ribosomal RNA", at positions 1 to 112 of the family's 2987-position model. The record is from RNAcentral. Lineage: Archaea; Methanobacteriati; Methanobacteriota; Thermococci; Thermococcales; Thermococcaceae.
GGGCGACGAUGAGGGCCGUGCAUAGGCGGGUGGCCCAAGAAGUGCCUGGCCCCUCCGGUAGAGGGGCUAGGACGCUAAGCCGCCCGGUGGAUGGCUCGGCUCGGGGCGCCGACGAAGGGCGUGGCAAGCUGCGAUAAGCCCCGGCGAGGCGCAGGCAGCCGUCGAACCGGGGAUU